AACGAACGCUGGCGGCAUGCCUAACACAUGCAAGUCGAACGAGACCUUCGGGUCUAGUGGCGCACGGGUGCGUAACGCGUGGGAACCUGCCCUUAGGUUCGGAAUAACUCCCCGAAAGGGGUGCUAAUACCGGAUAAUGUCUUCGGACCAAAGAUUUAUCGCCUUUGGAUGGGCCCGCGUUGGAUUAGCUUGUUGGUAGGGUAAAAGCCUACCAAGUCGAAGAUCCAUAGCUGGUCUGAGAGGAUGAUCAGCCACACUGGGAGUGAGACACGGCCCAGACUCGUACGGGAGGCAGCAGUGGGGAAUGUUGGACAAUGGGCGAAAGCAUGAUGCAGCAAGGCCGCGUGAGUGAUGAAGGCGUUAGGGUUGUAAAGCUCUUUUACCCGGGAUGAUAAUGACAGUACCGGGAGAAUAAGCUCCGGCUAACUCCGUG
RNAcentral lists this ribosomal RNA (433 nucleotides) under uncultured bacterium. RNAcentral describes it as "partial 16S ribosomal RNA". It matches the Rfam family "Bacterial small subunit ribosomal RNA", at positions 29 to 507 of the family's 1533-position model. The record is from RNAcentral.